RNAcentral lists this unclassified non-coding RNA (302 nucleotides) under Hevea brasiliensis (rubber tree). Lineage: Eukaryota; Viridiplantae; Streptophyta; Magnoliopsida; Malpighiales; Euphorbiaceae. The record is from RNAcentral.
UUUUAGAUGUGUCCAGAGCCCCAUGUCUAAAUAUUACAAGAAAUUAACUUUUUAAGCUCCAAGGUCCGAGAUAGUCGCCAUGAUUACAGUUCUACACUUUAGAACUCCCAAGCAAAUUGGACCCUAGGAGGCACAAUAUCCUAAUCCUAACUAGAAUAUACCUAAGCCUAACCACCCAAGAAAAUAAAAGGAUAAAUAUACAGCAUUUUCUAUGGCCCUACAUCUCCACCCUAGGACAAAAUCAUUCAACUUUCUGAGCAAAUUGCUGCUGUAUCCCUGAGGAGCGACCUCAAAUUGGCCCU